RNAcentral lists this ribosomal RNA (211 nucleotides) under uncultured bacterium. Its description in RNAcentral is "partial 16S ribosomal RNA". It matches the Rfam family "Bacterial small subunit ribosomal RNA", at positions 524 to 736 of the family's 1533-position model. The record is from RNAcentral.
UACGAAGGGGGCUAGCGUUGCUCGGAAUCACUGGGCGUAAAGGGUGCGUAGGCGGGUCUUUAAGUCAGGGGUGAAAUCCUGGAGCUCAACUCCAGAACUGCCUUGAUACUGAAGAUCUUGAGUCGGGAGAGGUGAGUGGAACUGCGAGUGUAGAGGUGAAAUUCGUAGAUAUUCGCAAGAACACCAGUGGCGAAGGCGGCUCACUGGCCCG